RNAcentral lists this ribosomal RNA (355 nucleotides) under Salmonella enterica. Its description in RNAcentral is "bacterial SSU rRNA". It matches the Rfam family "Bacterial small subunit ribosomal RNA", at positions 620 to 974 of the family's 1533-position model. The record is from RNAcentral. RNAcentral also lists the same sequence under 1 other name. Lineage: Bacteria; Pseudomonadati; Pseudomonadota; Gammaproteobacteria; Enterobacterales; Enterobacteriaceae.
ACUGCAUUCGAAACUGGCAGGCUUGAGUCUUGUAGAGGGGGGUAGAAUUCCAGGUGUAGCGGUGAAAUGCGUAGAGAUCUGGAGGAAUACCGGUGGCGAAGGCGGCCCCCUGGACAAAGACUGACGCUCAGGUGCGAAAGCGUGGGGAGCAAACAGGAUUAGAUACCCUGGUAGUCCACGCCGUAAACGAUGUCUACUUGGAGGUUGUGCCCUUGAGGCGUGGCUUCCGGAGCUAACGCGUUAAGUAGACCGCCUGGGGAGUACGGCCGCAAGGUUAAAACUCAAAUGAAUUGACGGGGGCCCGCACAAGCGGUGGAGCAUGUGGUUUAAUUCGAUGCAACGCGAAGAACCUUAC